UUGACCUCGGAUCAGGUAGGGAUACCCGCUGAACUUAAGCAUAUCAAUAAGCGGAGGAAUUGACCUCAAAUCAGGUAGGACUACCCGCUGAACUUAAGCAUAUCAAUAAGCGGAGGAA
RNAcentral lists this ribosomal RNA (118 nucleotides) under Botryosphaeria dothidea. Its description in RNAcentral is "partial 28S ribosomal RNA". The stretch from base 61 to 118 matches the Rfam family "Eukaryotic large subunit ribosomal RNA", at positions 1 to 58 of the family's 3401-position model. Lineage: Eukaryota; Fungi; Ascomycota; Dothideomycetes; Botryosphaeriales; Botryosphaeriaceae. The record is from RNAcentral.